RNAcentral lists this long non-coding RNA (696 nucleotides) under Vulpes vulpes (red fox). RNAcentral's name for it is "lncRNA (ENSVVUG00000014155.1)". Lineage: Eukaryota; Metazoa; Chordata; Mammalia; Carnivora; Canidae. The record is from RNAcentral.
GAAAGUCCCCUCCUUCCUUCCCUUCCUGGUAAUUAUGCAGAGACAUACAUGAAUACUUAUUAUUGUUUGGGGCUUAAAGACAUACUUUGCCUUUUCUGCAUUUCUACUGAAAUAGUAAUUCUUUCAGGGUGAAGCUUCACAUAUGAAGUCUCAAUUCCAGCUGCCACAUCAUUGUGUAUAAAGGCAUCACUCCCUGUGUCCCUGUGGGAAUUUCUUUCCAAUCCCCAAAUUGCUGAGACAAGCACCCUUUCACACUCCAAGGAACUAUGAAUUCUCACUCCAUUUUUUGACACAUGGAGACUUCUCUUUCUUUUUGGGGGUAACAAUAUACUUUAUUGAUGGUACAUGACAAGCAAGAUAUGCACAUUUAAGACAGUCCGUCUAUUGGAGGGAAAAAAAUUACCGAAACAUGAAAACCAUGAACCAAAACACGCACAUACCUGCAAAUGGAAUUGAUGAAGACACUGGAACAAUGCUCCAUCCCAAUUCAGAGGAACCAUCUAUUGGUUACAUAGCUCUAGACGUAUAUAGAAUUAAAAAAUAAAAUACUGGCACCGAUAUUCUUUGUAGCAUGUGAGAAGUCUAUAUAAUUUUUGGAGUGUUGUGUUUCCAUUUCAAUGAAAUUAAAAAAUAAUUCCCUUCAUUCUUACCUUAGACCACAUUACAAUAAAUACUUCCAAGAGAGUUUAGUGUUCA